RNAcentral lists this long non-coding RNA (200 nucleotides) under Elaeis guineensis (African oil palm). RNAcentral describes it as "long non-coding RNA (EGUI_LNC075848)". Lineage: Eukaryota; Viridiplantae; Streptophyta; Magnoliopsida; Arecales; Arecaceae. The record is from RNAcentral.
AUCGCCACCUAUUCCCCCCUCCAAAAAAAAAGUUGAUAAGAGAAACUAAUGAUGUUAUUUUCAUUCCUCAUCCAACAAAGGUUCUACUUCUGGGUGUUCUUUCUAAGAGGAUUUUCAGUGAGUAAACAACUAUGAGUGAAAGCUCUAGGAGCUAGAUCGUCAAAUUGAAAAGUUACAAAAUGACUAAAUGAUGAGACUUC